Molecule: ribosomal RNA, 489 nt
Filed under: uncultured bacterium
Lineage: Bacteria
Description: partial 16S ribosomal RNA
Rfam family: Bacterial small subunit ribosomal RNA
Source: RNAcentral
GAUGAACGCUAGCGGCAGGCUUAAUACAUGCAAGUCGUGGGGCAGCAGGACUGUAGCAAUACAGUUGCUGGCGACCGGCAAACGGGUGCGGAACACGUACGCAACUUACCCUGAACUGGGGGAUAGCCCGGGGAAACCCGGAUUAAUACCCCGUAAUAUAAUGGAGUGGCAUCACUUUAUUAUUAAAGCUCCGGCGGUUCGGGAUGGGCGUGCGGCUGAUUAGGUAGUUGGUUGAGGUAACGGCUCACCAAGCCUACGAUCAGUAACUGGUGUGAGAGCACGACCAGUCAGAGGGGGACUGGGACACGGGCCAGACUCCUACGGGAGGCAGCAGUAAGGAAUAUUGGGAAAGGGAGGCAACUCUGACCCAGCCAUGCCGGGUGGAGGAUGAAGGCCCUCUGGGUUGUAAACUUCUUUUAUAGGGGACGAAACCUGUGUAUUCUUACGCAGUUGACGGUACCCUAGGAAUAAGCACCGGCUAACGCCGUG